RNAcentral lists this ribosomal RNA (229 nucleotides) under uncultured bacterium. RNAcentral describes it as "partial 16S ribosomal RNA". It matches the Rfam family "Bacterial small subunit ribosomal RNA", at positions 524 to 753 of the family's 1533-position model. The record is from RNAcentral.
UACGUAGGUGGCAAGCGUUGUCCGGAAUUAUUGGGCGUAAAGCGCGCGCAGGUGGUUCCUUAAGUCUGAUGUGAAAGCCCACGGCUCAACCGUGGAGGGUCAUUGGAAACUGGGGAACUUGAGUGCAGAAGAGGAAAGUGGAAUUCCAAGUGUAGCGGUGAAAUGCGUAGAGAUUUGGAGGAACACAGUGGCGAAGGCGACUUUCUGGUCUGUAACUGACACUGAGGCG